CUUUCUGCAAUAUGUUUGACAAUGGUUGAUGAACGUUGUUUCUAAGUACUAUUGCAUUUUGUUCGCUAAUCUUUUGUUUAGAAUUCUUGUGUUUAAAUUCAGGGUGAUCUUGGCUUGUAGUUUUGGCUUGAUCUUAUCAUUUACUUGUUUUCUAUGGUCCUUGUCAGAUGUUGUUACCAGGUUUGUAUCAAUCUCCUAAAAUGAGGACAAAGAAAAGGAAUCCCUUUUUCUAACAACGGUUGAUACAAAUUGAUUCAUAAUCUUCAAAGAGUUAAUAAUAGUUUAAUCUACAUUUGGUUGAUGGUCGCUGCCUUUUCUGCAAUCAUUCUCAUUGAUUUUGAUUAAACUAUCUUCCUUCUUUUUAACUUAGCAUGCAUUAAAAAUAGGUUUCUUUUCAUGAGAACAGAGUGUUUCUUGGGGCUUGGUAAAUUUUGGCUCAUGAUUAAACGUCAAAUUAAUGAUUCACAUUCUUGGUUGGAUACACAUAUGCAGACUGUUUGCCAUUUGGUGGUUGUUAGAUUUUUGUCAUGAGUGGGAGGCGUUCAUUGAUAUAUUUCAGGAAACCAUGACCCAUCAAGGCGAGAAGGUGGCUGUAGAACCUGAAAAUGUGUUUGAACGUCCCAGGGAAUCUGACAGUCCUUCAUAUCAGAAAAGGCAGAAGAUGGCCCUGUCGGCACGGACAGAAGGAGCAGGAGACGGUGGUAUUGGACGCUCUGCCAUGUCUACGGAAAAGGGUAUGUGCGAGGAGACUUAAUUCCGCACCUUGAGAAGAAACUGGAAGAAAUGACAUCUGGCUACUUGUCCAAGAAGGAACAUCAGACCCUAAAUGCAUAAUCUCUUUAAUGAUUGAGGAGAAAAGAGGAUCAAAUUGCUGUUUUUUACAAUAGAGUAGGAUAUGGCUGAAACCUCCUAGCAUGUGUUAGUGAAUAAAAUGGCCUCCCAGAGGCUAAGAAAUUUCUGUCAGUAAACGUUGGUCUUUUUCCCUAAGCAUUUCAUUUGAAAGGAUAACUUAUUUGUUGGUUUGUUGAUUUUCCCACCUGUGCUGGCAGACAUUAUUGACCCAUCAAGUAAAUACUAUUACAGUCGUGGUUUCUGCAGCAGCCCACAUUGCUGUAACUGUUAUUUAUAACUGCCUUCUUUCACUACCCAUUUCUCUUUCCCUUUGCCCUAGCGAAAGCAUGUCAGCUGCUCGUGGUGCUUGGCCUGGCAGAAUGACUCAAACCUUCAUUACUGAACAGUCUGAACCAUUAGAUGUCCUGCCUAGAUGGGGUUGCUUACCAUAGGUGAGAAUGAAAAUCCAUAUCCAGAAUAAGUGUCCAUUUGAGCAAAUCAAAGUGAUGCCCCUUCAAUUGUGGAAGCAGAUUCAAGUAAUCACAGUGCUAUCUGGAAGCGGACAGACCACUCUGGGACAUGGUUUCAUGUUGGGGACUCAGUGUUCGUCUCUGCUGCUGGCAGAUUGAAUAGCAAGCAGUGGCUGUACUGACAUAGACCUGGUAAAUGAAAGUUGAUAUUACCAAGACCAUGGAUAUCCUCUAUCUCAACCACCAUAAUCAUGAUGCACUGUUACUCUUUAUAAGAUGGAAGGGUGCACCUAAGGAAGUCUGGAGGUGAUUGAUGAUAGCAUCUGGAAACCAAAGGAAGAGGUUGAGCUGUGAGCUCCUCUUCACGGACAUUUUGAGUGACGGUAGCAUCUGAAAGAAAACCCAAUGAAGAGGUUGAGCUGUGAAGUAAAUACAUCAUGUGAACUGCACAGGUAUAUCCCUCUGAUGAUCAGUUUCUAGGUAAUCAUCAAAAAAAGCAGGGGUGCAUAUGCCAAGUGGACAUCUGAUACCCCUCAAAUUGAGGCUACUAAGGUAUUUACAACAGAGUUACCCUCUACCAUUCAUGAAAUUAUGCCUGCUUAGGGAAACCGAGUAGGACAGCACAACUAAGAAGCAGACAUACACAGAUCUCUGGUUCUCCUGGAUGAAAUUCCAGCUGCUGCCAUAUUACCAAGCCCUGGUGGAGCAGUUGACAAGACGUUAUCCGGUACCGGUUGGCUGUUACUUCUCUUCUCUUCACGGAUGCUGUGCGUGACUUCAGCAUCUGGAAACCAAAUGAAAUGGAUGAGCUCUCCUCUUCACGGACAUUUUGAGUGACGGUAGCAUCUGAAAGAAAACCCAAUGAAGUGGUUGAGCUGUGAAGUAAAUAAAUCAUGUGAACCACACACGUAUAUCCCUCUGAUGAUCAGUUUCUAGGGAAACCGAGUAGGACAGCACAACUAAGAAGCAGACAUACACAGAUCUCUGGUCCUCCUGGAUGAAAUUCCAGCUGCUGUCAUAUUACCAAGCCCUGGUGGAGCAGUUGACAAGACGUUAUCAGGUACCGGUUGGCUGUUACUUCUCUUCUCUUCACGGACGCUGUGCGUGACUGCAGAAUCUGGAAAACAAAUGAAAUGGUUGAGCUGUGAGUAAUUUGCAUUAUGUAAACCACACAGGCAUAGCCCUCAGAUGCUCAGUAGCUAGGAAAUUAUCACUUGGAGAAGAAUAUACCAGGUAGCAAUCUGAGAACCCUAAAAUUGAGGCCAGGAAAGAUAGUACAACAACACUAGAUUCUGUCCUCAUGACGCUAUGCAUGCAUAUAAAAAACAAGUAGGACAUUAUAUCGAGUGAACAAACAUACACUGAUCCCUGGUACUCAUGGAUGAAACACCAGCUGCUCCCAUAUUAAUAAGUGCUGGGGGAAUAGUUGAGAAGACGUUAUUGUGUUCUGCUUCAGCAUUUUUAAUCUUCUCCUCGUGGACGUUGUGAGUGAUGGUAGAAUCUGGAAAGACAAUGAAGACGUUAAGUUUUGAGUUAAGGGCAUUAUGUCAGCCCACAGGUAUAUCCCCCUGAUGAUCAGUUUCUAGACAACGAUUUCAAAAAGCCAGAGAGCAUAUGCCAGAUGGGCAUCUGAGAACACUCAAAUGUGCUCACGAAAUAUAAUACAACAAAAUCACUUUCUCCUAUUCAGGACACUAGUCAUACCUAUGAAAACAAGGUAGGAUAGUACAAAUGAACAAGCAAACAUACACUGAUCCCUGGUGCUCAUGGCUGGCAGAACAGCUGUGGCCAAAAAUGUAAGUGUUUGUAGAACAGUCAACAAGUCGUUAUUAGAUGUUGGUUGCUUAUUUUCCAGCUCCUCUUCACGGACAUUUUGAGUGACGGUAGCAUCUGAAAGAAAACCAAAUGAAGAGGUUGAGCUGUGAAGUAAAUACAUCAUGUGAACUGCACAGGUAUAUCCCUCUGAUGAUCAGUUUCUAGGUAAUCAUCAAAAAAAGCAGGGGUGCAUAUGCCAAGUGGACAUCUGAUACCCCUCAAAUUGAGGCUACUAAGGUAUGUACAACAGAGUUACCCUCUACCAUUCAUGAAAUUAUGCCUGCUUAGGGAAACCGAGUAGGACAGCACAACUAAGAAGCAGACAUACACAGAUCUCUGGUUCUCCUGGAUGAAAUUCCAGCUGCUGCCAUAUUACCAAGCCCUGGUGGAGCAGUUGACAAGACGUUAUCCGGUACCGGUUGGCUGUUACUUCUCUUCUCUUCACGGACGCUGUGCGUGACUUCAGCAUCUGGAAACCAAAUGAAAUGGUUGAGCUCUCCUCUUCACGGACAUUUUGAGUGACGGUAGCAUCUGAAAACCAAAUGAAGAGGUUGAGCUGUGAAGUAAAUACAUCAUGUGAACUGCACAGUUAUAUCCCUCUGAUGGUCAGUUUCUAGGUAAUCAUCAAAAAAAGCAGGGGUGUAUAUGCCAAGUGGACAUCUGAUAACCCUCAAAUUGAGGCUACUAAGGUAUUUACAACAGAGUUACCCUCUACCAUUCAUGAAAUUAUGCCUGCUUAGGGAAACCGAGUAGGACAGCACAACUAAGAAGCAGACAUACACAGAUCUCUGGUCCUCCUGGAUGAAAUUCCAGCUGCUGCCAUAUUACCAAGCCCUGGUGGAGCAGUUGACAAGACGUUAUCAGGUACCGGUUGGCUGUUACUUCUCUUCUCUUCACGGACGCUGUGCGUGACUGCAGCAUCUGGAAACCAAAUGAAAUGGUUGAGCUGUGAGUAAUUUGCAUUAUGUAAACCACACAGGCAUAGCCCUCAGAUGCUCAGCAGCUAGGACAUUAUCACUUGGAGAAGAAUAUACCAGGUAGCAACCUGAGAUCCCUAAAAUUGAGGCCAGGAAAGAUAGUACAACAACACUAGAUUCUGUCCUCAUGACACUAUGCAUGCAUAUAGAAACCAAGUAGGACAGUAUAUUGAGUGAACAAACAUACACUGAUCCCUGGUACUCAUGGAUGAAACACCAGCUGCUCCCAUAUUAAUAAGUGCUGGGGGAAUAGUUGAGAAGACAUUAUUGGGUUCUGCUUCAGCAUUUUUAAUCUUCUCCUCGUGGACGUUGUGAGUGAUGGUAGAAUCUGGAAAGACAAUGAAGACGUUAAGUUUUGAGUUAAGGGCAUUAUUUCAGCCCACAGGUAUAUCCCCCUGAUGAUCAGUUUCUAGACAACUAUUUCAAAAAGUCAGAGAGGAUAUGCCAGAUGGGCAUCUGAGAACACUCAAAUGUGCUCACGAAAUAUAAUACAACAAAGUCACUUUCUCCUAUUCAGGACACUAGUCAUACCUAUGAAAACAAGGUAGGAUAGUACAAAGGAAUAAGCAAACAUACACUGAUCCCUGGUGCUCAUGGCUGGCAGAACAGCUUUGGCCAAAAAUGUAAGUGUUUGUAGAACAGUCAACAAGUCGUUAUUAGAUGUUGGUUGCUUAUUUUCCAGCUCCUCUUCACGGACAUUUUGAGUGACGGUAGCAUCUGAAAGAAAACCAAAUGAAGAGGUUGAGCUGUGAAGUAAAUACAUCAUGUGAACUGCACAGGUAUAUCCCUCUGAUGAUCAGUUUCAAGGUAAUCAUCAAAAAAAGCAGGGGUGCAUAUGCCAAGUGGACAUCUGAUAACCCUCAAAUUGAGGCUACUAAGGUAUUUACAACAGAGUUACCCUCUACCAUUCAUGAAUGUAUGCCUGCUUAGGGAAACCGAGUAGGACAGCACAACUAAGAAGCAGACAUACACAGAUCUCUGGUCCUCGUGGAUGAAAUUCCAGCUGCUGCCAUAUUACCAAGACCUGGUGGAGCAGUUGACAAGACGUUAUCAGGUGCUAGUUGGCCAUUAUUUAUCUUCUGUUUACGGACAUUGUGAGUGACUGCAGCAUCUGGAAACCAAACAAAGUGGUUUUGCUGUGAGGUAAGUGCAUUAUGUCAACUACAUAGGUAUACCACUCUGAUGGGUAGUAUCUAGGAAAUUAUGUCAUACAGAAGAAAGAUAUACCACCUAGUAAUCUGAGAACCCUAAAAUUGAGGCCAGGAAAGACAGUAAAACAACACUACAUUCUUUCCUGCUUACAGUAUGCAAGCAUGUGGAAACCAAGUAGGACAGUGCACUGAGUGAACAAACUUACACUGAUCCCUGGUCUUCAUGGAUGAAACACCCGCUGCUGCCAUAUUAAUAUGUGUAGGGGAAACAGUUGGGAAGACUUUAUUGGGUGCUCCUUCAGCAUUUUUUAUCCUUGCCUCCUGGACAGUGUGAGUGAUGGUAGCAUCUGGAAACAAAAUGAAAAGGUUUAGAUUUGAAUUAAGUGCAUUAUCUAAACCCCACAGGUAUAUCAGCCUGAUGCUCAGUUUCUAGAAAACUAUUUCAUAAAAUCAGAAAUGAUAUGCCAGAUGGCCAUCUGAGAACACUCAAAUGCAGCUCAUGAAAGAUAAUACAACAAAAUCACCUUCUCCCAUUCAGGACACUAGGCAUGCCUAUGAAAACAAAGCAGGAUAGUCCAAAUGAAUAAGCAAACAUACACUGAUCCCUGGCGCUCAUGGCUGGGAGACCAGCUGUUGCCAAAUAAGGAAGUCCUUGGAGAACAGUUGACAAGACGUUACUAGGUGUUGGUUGCUUAUUUUCGGUCUUUUCUUUGCAGACAUUUUGAGUGACGGUUGCACCUGAAAACCAAAGGAAGAGGUUGAGCUGUGAGCUAAGUACAUUAUGUCAACCCCAGAGGUAUAUCCCUAUGAUCCUCACUUUCUAGGAAAUUAUCAAAGAAACCAGGGUAGGGUAUGCCACGUGGCUAUCUCAUACCCCUCAAAGUGAGGCUAGGAAAGUACAUACAACAAAAUUAACUUGUAGCAUUCAUAAAACUAUGCCUCCUUAGGGAAACCAAGUAGGACAGUACAACUAAGAAGCGGACCUACACAGACCUGUGGUUUUCAUGGAUGAAUUUCCGGCUGCUACCAUAUUACCAAGACCUGGUGGAGCAGCUGACAACACGUUGUCAGGUGCUAGUUGGAUGUUAUUUAUCUUUGCUUCACGGAUAUUGUGAGUGACUGCAGCAUCUGGAAACCAACAGAAAUGGCUGGGCUGUGAGACAUUUUGAGUGACGGUAGCAUCUGAAACCCAAAUGAAGAGGUUGAGCUGUGAGGUAAGUACAGUAUGUCAACCCCAGAAGUACAUCCGUCUGAUCCUCAGUUUCCUGGAAAUUAUGAAAGAAACCAGUUUAGGAUAUGCCACGUGGCUAUCUGAUCCCCCUCAAAUUGAUGCUAGGAAACUAUAUACAACAAAAUUAACUGGUAGCAUUCAUCAAACAAUGCCUCCUUAGGGAAUCCAAGUACGAUGGUCCAACUAAAAAGCAGACAUACAUAGAUCUCUGGUCCUCGUGGAUGAAAUUCCAGCUGCUGCCAAAUUACCAAGCCCUGGUGGAGCAGUUGACAAGACGUUAUCAGGUGCUAGUUGACCAUUAUUUAUCUUCGCUUCACGGACGUUGUGAGUGACCGCAGCAUCUGGAAACCAAAUGAAGUCGUUGAGCUGUGUGUUUCAUGCAUUAUGUCAACCGUACAGGCAUACCGCUCGUAUGCUCGGUAUCGAGGAAAUGAUCUCAUAAAGAAGAAGGACAUACCAACUAGCAGUCUGAGAACCGUAAAGUUGAGGCCAGUAAAGAUAGUACAACAACAGUGUAUUCUUUUCUCAUGGCACUACGCAUGCAUAUAGAAACCAAGUAGGACAGCACGCCAAGUGAACAAACGUACACUGAUCCCUGGUACUCAUGGAUGAAACACCCGCUGCUGCCAUAUUAAUACGUGCUGGUGGAAUAGCUGAGAAGACAUUAUUGGGUGCCGUUUGGGCAUUUUUAAUCUUCUCCUCAUGGACAUUGUGAGUGAUGGUAUAAUCUGGAAAUGA
Callithrix jacchus (white-tufted-ear marmoset) is the source of this 7213-nucleotide non-coding RNA. NCBI's taxonomy places the organism in Eukaryota, Metazoa, Chordata, Mammalia, Primates, Cebidae. The record is from RefSeq and is a predicted model, not a curated record.